UCGGGAAUAUUGGUCAAUGGGCGCAAGCCUGAACCAGCCAUGCCGCGUGCAGGAUGAAGGCCCUCAGGGUUGUAAACUGCUUUUGUAUGGGAAUAAAAAAGUCCUUGCGAGGACUCUUGAAGGUACCAUAAGAAUAAGCACCGGCUAACUCCGUGCCAGCAGCCGCGGUAAUACGGAGGGUGCAAGCGUUAUCCGGAUUUACUGGGCGUAAAGGGCGCGUAGGCGGGCGAUCAAGUCAGGGGUGAAAGGCCUGGGCUCAACCUGGGACGUGCCUUUGAAACUGAUUGUCUUGAGUGCGGGAGAGGGUGACGGAAUUCCCAGUGUAGAGGUGAAAUUCGUAGAUAUUGGGAAGAACACCGGUGGCGAAGGCGGUCACCUGGCCCGCAACUGACGCUGAGGCGCGAAAGCGUGGGGAGCAAACAGGAUUAGAUACCCCGGUAGUCC
This 444-nucleotide ribosomal RNA is filed under the name uncultured prokaryote. Its description in RNAcentral is "bacterial SSU rRNA". It matches the Rfam family "Bacterial small subunit ribosomal RNA", at positions 355 to 796 of the family's 1533-position model. The record is from RNAcentral.